Molecule: non-coding RNA, 100 nt
Organism: Acanthosepion pharaonis
Lineage: Eukaryota; Metazoa; Mollusca; Cephalopoda; Sepiida; Sepiidae
Source: the annotation of a GenBank genome assembly
AGCACGUUUAAACGCCGGCUCACAUCCGAUCACCAAAGAGAAGCAAUGUCGAGCCUGAUCAAUAUCUAGAUGGGUGACUGCUUGGGAAUACCAAGUAGUG